GAUGAACGCUGGCGGCGUGCCUAAUACAUGCAAGUCGAGCGAACAGACGAGGAGCUUGCUCCUCUGACGUUAGCGGCGGACGGGUGAGUAACACGUGGAUAACCUACCUAUAAGACUGGGAUAACUUCGGGAAACCGGAGCUAAUACCGGAUAAUAUAUUGAACCGCAUGGUUCAAUAGUGAAAGACGGUUUUGCUGUCACUUAUAGAUGGAUCCGCGCCGCAUUAGCUAGUUGGUAAGGUAACGGCUUACCAAGGCAACGAUGCGUAGCCGACCUGAGAGGGUGGUCGGCCACACUGGAACUGGGACCCGGUCCAGACCCCUACGGGAGGCAGCAGUAGGGAAUCUUCCGGAAGGGGCGAAAGCCUGACGGGGCAACGCCGCGUGGGUUAUGAAGGUCUUCGGAUCCUAAAACUCUGUUAUUAGGGAAGAACAAAUGUGUAGGUAACUAUGCACGUCUUGACGGUACCUAAUCAGAAAGCCACGGCUAACUACGUG
RNAcentral lists this ribosomal RNA (497 nucleotides) under uncultured bacterium. RNAcentral's name for it is "partial 16S ribosomal RNA". It matches the Rfam family "Bacterial small subunit ribosomal RNA", at positions 28 to 507 of the family's 1533-position model. The record is from RNAcentral.